CAGUAGCCGCGGGAAUACAGAGGGUGCGAGCGUUAAUCGGAUUUACUGGGCGUAAAGCGUGUGUAGGUUGUUGUUCAAGUCAGUUGUGAAAUCCCUGGGCUCAACCUGGGAAUUGCAGUGGAUACUGGGUCACUAGAGUGUGGUAGAGGAUAGUGGAAUUUCCGGUGUAGCAGUGAAAUGCUUAGAGAUCGGAAGGAACAUCUGUGGCGAAGGCGACUAUCUGGGCCAACACUGACACUGAGGCACGAAAGCGUGGGGAGCAAACAGGAUUAGAUACCCCGGUAGUCCCUGUCUCUUAUAC
Molecule: ribosomal RNA, 301 nt
Filed under: uncultured bacterium
Lineage: Bacteria
Description: partial 16S ribosomal RNA
Rfam family: Bacterial small subunit ribosomal RNA
Source: RNAcentral